CAGUCGCCACGGUAAUACGUAGGGUGCAAGCGUUAAUCGGAAUUACUGGGCGUAAAGCGUGCGCAGGCGGUUCGCUAAGACAGAUGUGAAAUCCCCGGGCUUAACCUGGGAACUGCAUUUGUGACUGGCGGGCUAGAGUAUGGCAGAGGGGGGUAGAAUUCCACGUGUAGCAGUGAAAUGCGUAGAGAUGCGGAGGAAUACCGAUGGCGAAGGCAGCCCCCUGGGCCAAUACUGACGCUCAUGCACGAAAGCGUGGGGAGCAAACAGGAUUAGAUACCCCUGUAGUCCCUGUCUCUUAUAC
Molecule: ribosomal RNA, 301 nt
Filed under: uncultured bacterium
Lineage: Bacteria
Description: partial 16S ribosomal RNA
Rfam family: Bacterial small subunit ribosomal RNA
Source: RNAcentral